UUGAACCCCUGACCUCCU
This 18-nucleotide microRNA is filed under the name Mus musculus (house mouse). RNAcentral describes it as "mmu-miR-2183". Lineage: Eukaryota; Metazoa; Chordata; Mammalia; Rodentia; Muridae. The record is from miRBase by way of RNAcentral.